Molecule: non-coding RNA, 29 nt
Filed under: Rattus norvegicus (Norway rat)
Lineage: Eukaryota; Metazoa; Chordata; Mammalia; Rodentia; Muridae
Source: RNAcentral
UCCAGAGCAAAGUCUGAGAGGUUGUGUGC